RNAcentral lists this ribosomal RNA (643 nucleotides) under uncultured bacterium. RNAcentral describes it as "bacterial SSU rRNA". It matches the Rfam family "Bacterial small subunit ribosomal RNA", at positions 232 to 886 of the family's 1533-position model. The record is from RNAcentral.
CGCGGCCUAUCAGCUUGUUGGCGGGGUAAUGGCCCACCAAGGCGACGACGGGUAGCCGGCCUGAGAGGGCGACCGGCCACACUGGGACUGAGACACGGCCCAGACUCCUACGGGAGGCAGCAGUGGGGAAUAUUGCGCAAUGGGCGGAAGCCUGACGCAGCGACGCCGCGUGAGGGAUGAAGGCCUUCGGGUCGUAAACCUCUUUCAGCAGGGAAGAAGCGCAAGUGACGGUACCUGCAGAAGAAGCACCGGCUAACUACGUGCCAGCAGCCGCGGUAAUACGUAGGGUGCAAGCGUUGUCCGGAAUUAUUGGGCGUAAAGAGCUCGUAGGCGGUCUGUCGCGUCUGCUGUGAAAACUCAGGGCUUAACCCUGAGCUUGCAGUGGGUACGGGCAGACUAGAGUGCGGUAGGGGAGACUGGAAUUCCUGGUGUAGCGGUGAAAUGCGCAGAUAUCAGGAGGAACACCGGUGGCGAAGGCGGGUCUCUGGGCCGUAACUGACGCUGAGGAGCGAAAGCAUGGGGAGCGAACAGGAUUAGAUACCCUGGUAGUCCAUGCCGUAAACGUUGGGCGCUAGGUGUGGGGCUCUUUCCAUGAGUUCCGUGCCGCAGCUAACGCAUUAAGCGCCCCGCCUGGGAGUACGGA